This 949-nucleotide ribosomal RNA is filed under the name uncultured Syndiniales. Its description in RNAcentral is "SSU rRNA". It matches the Rfam family "Eukaryotic small subunit ribosomal RNA", at positions 43 to 984 of the family's 1831-position model. Lineage: Eukaryota; Dinophyceae; Syndiniales. The record is from RNAcentral.
ACGAAGCCAUGCAUGUCUCAGUAUAAAUCUCUAACACGGUGAAACUGCGAAUGGCUCAUUAAAACAGUCAUCGUUUAUUUGACGGUCAAACCAUUGGUUACACGGAUAACUGUGGUAAUUCUAGAGCUAAUACAUGCAUAAAGCGUCGACUUCUCGGAAGACGUGUGUUUAUUAGAUACAGAACCAGUACCUUAACGGGUAAUUUGGAUGAUUCAUAAUAAAUGAACGGAGCUCAAGCUUGUGCUGGAGCUCGGUCAUUCAAGCUUCUGACCUAUCAGCUUCCGACGGUAGUGUAUUGGACUACCGUGGCUUUGACGGGUAACGGAGAAUUAGGGUUCGAUUCCGGAGAGGGAGCCCGAGAAACGGCUACCACAUCUAAGGAAGGCAGCAGGCGCGCAAAUUAUUUUUUCCUGACACAGGGAGGUAGUGACAAGAAAUAACAAAGCAAGUGGCAUACGUCAUUUUGCUCUUGGAAUGAGUAGACUUUAAAUCUCUUUUCGACUAUCAAUUGGAGGGCAAGUCUGGUGCCAGCAGCCGCGGUAAUUCCAGCUCCAAUAGCGUAUAUUAAAGUUGUUGCGGUAAAAAAGCUCGUAGUUGGAUUUCUGUUGAGGACGGUCGGUCCGCUCUAUGAGCGUGUAUCUGGCUUUUGUCCUCGGCAUCCCGUGGGAAAGCGGUCUUGCGCUUAAAUGCGUGAACCGGUCUACCCACGCUUUUACUUUGAGGAAAUUCGAGUGUUUACGGCAGGCAUUGUCCGCUGUGAAGAUGUUAGCAUGGAAUAAUAAGAUAGGACCCUGGUCCCAUUUUGUUGGUUUCUGGAACUAAGGUAUGCGCGGUUAAUAGGAACAUUUGGGGGCAUUUGUAUCGGCCGGUCAGAGGUGGAAUUCUUGGAUUCGGUCGCGACAAACUACUGCGAAAGCAUUUGUCAAGGAUGUUUUCAUUGAUCAAGAAC